GGCUUUGAAGUAUAUAUUACGUUGAAUUGCAAAUUCAAAAAAGUAGCUUGAUAGCUACCGGAGCUU
Molecule: transfer RNA, 66 nt
Filed under: Pseudochirops albertisii (D'Albertis' ringtail)
Lineage: Eukaryota; Metazoa; Chordata; Mammalia; Diprotodontia; Pseudocheiridae
Description: tRNA-Cys
Source: RNAcentral